UGGGGAAUAUUGCACAAUGGGCGCAAGCCUGAUGCAGCCAUGCCGCGUGUGUGAAGAAGGCCUUCGGGUUGUAAAGCACUUUCAGCGAGGAGGAAGGUGGUGGACUUAAUACGUUCAUCAAUUGACGUUACUCGCAGAAGAAGCACCGGCUAACUCCGUGCCAGCAGCCGCGGUAAUACGGAGGGUGCAAGCGUUAAUCGGAAUUACUGGGCGUAAAGCGCACGCAGGCGGUUUGUUAAGUCAGAUGUGAAAUCCCCGGGCUCAACCUGGGAACUGCAUUUGAAACUGGCAAGCUAGAGUCUCGUAGAGGGGGGCUAGAAUUCCAGGUGUAGCGGUGAAAUGCGUAGAGAUCUGGAGGAAUACCGGUGGCGAAGGCGGCCCCCUGGANGAAGACUGACGCUCAGGUGCGAAAAGGCGUGGGGG
This 423-nucleotide ribosomal RNA is filed under the name uncultured bacterium. Its description in RNAcentral is "partial 16S ribosomal RNA". It matches the Rfam family "Bacterial small subunit ribosomal RNA", at positions 355 to 767 of the family's 1533-position model. The record is from RNAcentral.